RNAcentral lists this ribosomal RNA (468 nucleotides) under uncultured bacterium. Its description in RNAcentral is "partial 16S ribosomal RNA". It matches the Rfam family "Bacterial small subunit ribosomal RNA", at positions 28 to 507 of the family's 1533-position model. The record is from RNAcentral.
GACGAACGCUGGCGGCGUGCUUAACACAUGCAAGUCGAACGGAAAGGCCCUGCUUUUGUGGGGUGCUCGGGUGGCGAACGGGUGAGUAGCACGUGAGUAACCUGCCCUUGACUUUGGGAUAACUUCAGGAAACUGGGGCUAAUACCGGAUAGGAGCUCCUGCUGCAUGGUGGGGGUUGGAAAGUUUCGGCGGUUGGGGAUGGACUCGCGGCUUAUCAGCUUGUUGGUGGGGUAGUGGCUUACCAAGGCUUUGACGGGUAGCCGGCCUGAGAGGGUGACCGGCCACAUUGGGACUGAGAUACGGCCCAGACUCCUACGGGAGGCAGCAGUGGGGAAUAUUGCACAAUGGGCGGAAGCCUGAUGCAGCAACGCCGCGUGCGGGAUGACGGCCUUCGGGUUGUAAACCGCUUUCGCCUGUGACGAAGCGCGAGUGACGGUAAUGGGUAAAGAAGCACCGGCUAACUACGUG